This is a long non-coding RNA of Neoarius graeffei (lesser salmon catfish), 1271 nucleotides long. RefSeq lists it as uncharacterized. NCBI's taxonomy places the organism in Eukaryota, Metazoa, Chordata, Actinopteri, Siluriformes, Ariidae. The transcript is spliced from 3 exons. The record is from RefSeq and is a predicted model, not a curated record.
UAGGCGUAGAAAAAAUGUCUCCCUGCUUCACUCGUCCUCUUUCAUUCGUACUGCUCCUCCUCCUAGCUCCACCCACAGGUGUGUUCAGGUGAGUUUAACCUGAAACCUGCGUCACACCCUCUCUCUUACACAAACAUUGUAACUCAUUACUUUGGACUUUUACCCUUUAACUCAAUAUCACAUUUUUUCUCAUUUUCCAAGCAUUAUUAUUAUUAUUAUUAUUAUUAUUAUUAUUAAGUACAUAAAAUAUUUCCUCCAAAAGUGUGUAAAAUAUAGCACUAGGGUUGUUUAUUCUGUGUGUGUGUGUGUGAGAGAGAGAGAGCGUCAAUUCAGAAGGACGGAGAGGUAAACUGUUACUCAGACACACGUUUUGUUGCUGAGGUGAAGGUGAACUUGGCUGGAGAACCUCAGCAGAAAGAGGCGAGUCGUGAUCUCACUUUGCUUGUCAGCCACAAUAAAAGCAGAGUGUUUCUGAAGGUGAUGUUCCACUGAGAAGCGCCGCUGCAGGAAUUAAACAUCGGCUCUGAGAUCAGCACAGAAACCUGAACAUCCACAAGGGUCUGUCUGUAACGAUGAUGUCACAGAGGACUGCCACACCCACCAUACAACCAACCAGUGAGCAGCUUCAUUACAGUUCAGAUUUCAUCGCGGUUCUCCUGAAAGACACAGCGUCUCGACCUCGACACUUUGAACCUCAUGUCCUGAUGGAGAAACAUCACCGCUGAAUUAACGACAGAAAAUGAGCUUCGUCCACCUCAGUGUGUGUUGCAUCACGUGAGAUACAACUCACUCAGGACGUUUAAACUCCAGCCUCAUUGCCAUCUUUCUGCUCCACUGUUCACACCAACACCGCUGAGGAACUCAUCUCAUCUCUUAUUCACUCCCUGCAACGUGCCGCUGCUGUCGUGUGUAUGGAGUGUGUAAAUGCUCUGCUCUCCUGUGUUUUGGUGAUGGUGCAGGAGCUCAGCUGAUAAUCUGAUUACAGACUGAACUGAUGGAGUUUGAGCUCAGUGUGUGACUCUCUAAAUCCUGAUCACAUGCUGAGAAACUCACACUGAACUCAUGACACUUCACCCCUUUACACACACCGAGGAUCUCAACUGGGGAGUAAAACAACACAUCAUGGUGUCUGGGAACACACAGCAGGACAACAUGAGGAAAGAAACCCCCUGAAACAUUUCCACAUUGUUUCGUGCUGAGUUCCAUUUGAUCUGAGUCUGGACCGCCACCUGCUGGACACCACACACACACACACACACACACACACACAC